This is a non-coding RNA of Erythranthe guttata (spotted monkey flower), 125 nucleotides long. The record is from Rfam. NCBI's taxonomy places the organism in Eukaryota, Viridiplantae, Streptophyta, Magnoliopsida, Lamiales, Phrymaceae.
GGGUGCGAUCAUACCAGCACUAAUGCACCGGAUCCCAUCAGAACUCCGAAGUUAAGCGUGGUUGGGCGAGCACGAGAGUAGUACUAGGAUGGGUGACCCCCUGGGAAGUCCUCGUGUUGCACCCC